This is a long non-coding RNA of Aedes albopictus (Asian tiger mosquito), 414 nucleotides long. RefSeq lists it as uncharacterized. The record is from RefSeq and is a predicted model, not a curated record. The transcript is spliced from 2 exons. NCBI's taxonomy places the organism in Eukaryota, Metazoa, Arthropoda, Insecta, Diptera, Culicidae.
ACCUAGGGGCGGGACAGUGCCUAAUACCGGCGCUAAUACUGCCUAAUAAAUAUUAGUUUCGUAAUCUUCACUGUCCACCAAAACAUUUUUUGUGUAGUAUGUCAUGAGUUUUCAUACAACAACUAACUGUCACAAAAAACGAGAGGAUGAAACACGUUAAUCGAAUACCCUGAGCUUCAACUAUCACCAGCAAUGAUGAAGGUUUUGAGAACCUAUGGCACCGUGCUGAGAGAAAUAAAGUAGAUGGCUCCAUUGGAUGGGAUUAACAAGUUUCUGUGCUGGUUCUAGAUCAUGAUGCUCCUGAAAAAGAUGUGUUUCUGAUGAUAACCCUGGGCGUAUUGGCGAAUCAUAUAUUUCUGUUGUUGGCAAACUUCGAAGUAUAUUAGAUACAAAUAAACUUAAUUUGGAAAUUGA